Molecule: long non-coding RNA, 357 nt
Organism: Oncorhynchus kisutch (coho salmon)
Lineage: Eukaryota; Metazoa; Chordata; Actinopteri; Salmoniformes; Salmonidae
Exons: 3
Source: RefSeq, a predicted model, not a curated record
UGUGUACAGAAUGGUGAAUGUAGCGAUCAGGCUGGUUCCACCGGGCUAAGUAUCAGGAAUCAAGGCAGACUCUGGAGGCCCCCUGAACUGCCCAGGUCAACGGUCAGUGCCAAGUCCAUGAAGUGACCAGCUUUGUGUCUGGUUUCGGGUGCAACACCAACCGCAAGCCGACAAUCUUCACCCGCAUGUCUGCCUACAUCAGCUGGAUGAAUGGAAUCAUGGGUGGAAAAGGAGCAUGACCUUCGAGCAGACAGACAGUACCCAAGGGACUGUUCCGGAACCACCACCAACCCUGCUCAACCUCAUCCACAUGCUGCUGUAAAAGUUCAUUGAACUUAAACUUUAGAGUUAAACCUU